GAUGAACGCUGGCGGCGUGCCUAAUACAUGCAAGUCGAGCGAACAGAUAAGGAGCUUGCUCCUUUGACGUUAGCGGCGGACGGGUGAGUAACACGUGGGUAACUUACCUAUAAGACUGGAAUAACUCCGGGAAACCGGGGCUAAUGCCGGAUAACAUGUUGAACCGCAUGGUUCUACAGUGAAAGGCGGCUUUGCUGUCACUUAUAGAUGGACCCGCGCCGUAUUAGCUAGUUGGUGAGGUGACGGCUCACCAAGGCAACGAUACGUAGCCGACCUGAGAGGGUGAUCGGCCACACUGGAACUGAGACACGGUCCAGACUCCUACGGGAGGCAGCAGUAGGGAAUCUUCCGCAAUGGGCGAAAGCCUGACGGGGCAACGCCGCGUGAGUGAUGAAGGUCUUCGGAUCGUAAAACUCUGUUAUUAGGGAAGAACAAAUGCGUAAGUAACUGUGCGCGUCUUGACGGUACCUAAUCAGAAAGCCACGGCUAACUACGUG
RNAcentral lists this ribosomal RNA (497 nucleotides) under uncultured bacterium. RNAcentral describes it as "partial 16S ribosomal RNA". It matches the Rfam family "Bacterial small subunit ribosomal RNA", at positions 28 to 507 of the family's 1533-position model. The record is from RNAcentral.